CCGAAUGAUCCAAUGGGUCAAUAAAUUCGGUCAUAGACUCGACCUGACCCGAUCUGAUCCGAUUUUUUAUUGAGAUGGGUAUGGGUCCAAUAUCAAGAUCCAAUAAAAAAAUUAGAUCGGAUUGGGAUCACUCAACCUGAUCCGAUCCGACCCAUUUGCAGGCCUAAUGCUUGUGAAUUUGAUAAAAAAUGCUUCAUAUACUUACCGAAAGAUAUGGAUUUUUGCUCAAAUAUACUUAUUGGAAUCGCCUGGUUCUCCUAAACUUGUAAAGGAACUAGCUAGCAGACUGGUUGGCCAUGAGACGAGCAACAUAAGUACUGUAUACGUUGGCUUCUAGUGGUCGUGUCCGCUUGAUCGAUUAUGUUGGAUCGAGGUACCGAUCUUUUGAACAAUAAUAUUAUGCAUCUCUUGUCCUAUUAGAUUUUUUUUCUAAAGAUAAAAGAAAACAGAAUUU
This 454-nucleotide long non-coding RNA is filed under the name Elaeis guineensis (African oil palm). RNAcentral's name for it is "long non-coding RNA (EGUI_LNC040181)". The record is from RNAcentral. Lineage: Eukaryota; Viridiplantae; Streptophyta; Magnoliopsida; Arecales; Arecaceae.